CUACGGGUUGCUGCAGUGGGGAAUAUUGGACAAUGGGGGAAACCCUGAUCCAGCAAUGCCGCGUGUGUGAAGAAGGCCUGCGGGUUGUAAAGCACUUUCGGUUGGGAGGACUGCUUCUAGCACUAAUAUUGUUGGAAGUUGACGUUACCUUCAGAAGAAGCACCGGCUAACUCCGUGCCAGCAGCCGCGGUAAAACGGAGGGUGCAAGCGUUAAUCGAAAUUACUGGGCGUAAAGCGCGCGUAGGCGGCUAGAUCAGUCGGGUGUGAAAGCCCCGGGCUUAACCUGGGAACUGCAUCCGAUACUGUCUAGCUUGAGUACAGGAGAGGAGAGUGGAAUUCCACAUGUAGCGGUGAAAUGCGUAGAUAUGUGGAGGAACACCAAUGGCGAAGGCAGCUCUCUGGCCUGAUACUGACGCUGAGGUGCGAAAGCGUGGGGAGCAAACAGGAUUAGAUACCCCAGUAGUC
This 465-nucleotide ribosomal RNA is filed under the name uncultured bacterium. RNAcentral's name for it is "partial 16S ribosomal RNA". It matches the Rfam family "Bacterial small subunit ribosomal RNA", at positions 339 to 795 of the family's 1533-position model. The record is from RNAcentral.